UCCAGACUCCUACGGGAGGCAGCAGUGGGGAAUAUUGCACAAUGGGGGAAACCCUGAUGCAGCAACGCCGCGUGAGUGAAGAAGUAUUUCGGUAUGUAAAGCUCUAUCAGCAGGGAAGAGAAUGACGGUACCUGACUAAGAAGCCCCGGCUAACUACGUGCCAGCAGCCGCGGUAAUACGUAGGGGGCAAGCGUUAUCCGGAUUUACUGGGUGUAAAGGGAGCGUAGACGGCUGGCCAAGUCUGAAGUGAAAGCCCGGGGCUUAACCCCGGAACGGCUUUGGAAACUGGCCGGCUGGAGUGCUGGAGAGGCAGGCGGAAUUCCUGGUGUAGCGGUGAAAUGCGUAGAUAUUAGGAGGAACACCAGUGGCGAAGGCGGCUUACUGGACGAUGACUGACGCUGAGGCUCGAAAGCGUGGGGAGCAAACAGGAUUAGAUACCCGCGUAAA
Molecule: ribosomal RNA, 447 nt
Filed under: uncultured bacterium
Lineage: Bacteria
Description: bacterial SSU rRNA
Rfam family: Bacterial small subunit ribosomal RNA
Source: RNAcentral